This 474-nucleotide ribosomal RNA is filed under the name Trieces sp. C DLJQ-2008. Its description in RNAcentral is "eukaryotic LSU rRNA". The record is from RNAcentral. Lineage: Eukaryota; Metazoa; Arthropoda; Insecta; Hymenoptera; Ichneumonidae.
CCUGAGAAACCCAAAAGAUCGAAUGGGGAGAUUCAUCGCCAGCGAGCCCGGCACUGGYGCGGUUCGCGAUGCCGGAGGCCUCGGUCUCGCGGCACGCGUCCGCCCUGCGUUUUUUCGUCGGGUUUUGUCGGCGUGCACUUCUCCCCUAGUAGGACGUCGCGACCCGUUGGGUGUCGGUCUACGGCCCGGGUGGGCGCCUGUCGUGUGCUCAGCUUCACCGCUCCAUGCGACAGACCCCCGGUUGUCNGACCAGCUGCCCGGCGGUACUCGCACGGUAUCGAGCCGCAAAAUUUUGAACCUGCGUCCGGCCCGCCGCAAGCGAGGCCAGUGUUUCCGGAUGUACGGGCCUCGCUCCGUCACCGGGCCUGGCCAGCUGUUGGCCGGCGGUGUCCUGGGACUGGCUCUUCACAUUAUGAAUACCGGUCGGCGACGCUACUGCUUUGGGUACUUUCAGGACCCGUCUUGAAACACGGA